GGGCGCGCUUAGCUCAGUUGGCUAGAGCAUCUCGUUUACACCGAGAGGGUCGGGGGUUCGAGCCCCUCAGCGCCCA
RNAcentral lists this transfer RNA (76 nucleotides) under Candidatus Saccharimonadota bacterium. RNAcentral describes it as "Candidatus Saccharibacteria bacterium tRNA-Val". It matches the Rfam family "tRNA". Rfam says of the family: Transfer RNA (tRNA) molecules are approximately 80 nucleotides in length. Their secondary structure includes four short double-helical elements and three loops (D, anti-codon, and T loops). Lineage: Bacteria; Candidatus Saccharimonadota. The record is from RNAcentral.